AAGCCAGACAUAUUUAUUACUGGGUACACAUAAAUUAAAUAACUACAUAUAAUGAUAUAUAUAAGUUAAAAUAGGUGUAUCAAACUCAGGUUCUUCAAAAGUUACGGGUGCACCUUGACCGAUUAAGCCAUUUUCCCUUUUAUCUCUAAUGUAAAAAUUUCAAAACAUAAAUAAUAGUGGGUGCAUGUGAAGUCCUAGUCUAUGACGUAGCUUCGCCCCUGCUUGUAACAAUAUACAUUUUCUUAAACCAUAGUAAAAUAACUCAU
Molecule: long non-coding RNA, 266 nt
Filed under: Brassica napus (rape)
Lineage: Eukaryota; Viridiplantae; Streptophyta; Magnoliopsida; Brassicales; Brassicaceae
Description: long non-coding RNA (BNAP_LNC006820)
Source: RNAcentral